CGAGCCGGGCGGACGGCCGCGUGGAGGUUCUUGUGGACCUCCCCGAGGAACGUCCGGGCUCCACAGGGCAAGGUGGUGGCUAACGGCCACCCGGGGUGACCCGCGGGACAGUGCCACAGAAAACAGACCGCCCGACGCUCCGGCGCCGGGUAAGGGUGAAACGGUGGUGUAAGAGACCACCAGCGCCUGAGGUGACUCAGGCGGCUAGGUAAACCCCACCUGGAGCAAGGUCAAAAGGAAGCGCCCCUUCGCGAGAAGAGGCGGUUCUGCGCGGACGACCGAGGGCUGCCCGCCCGAGUCCGCGGGUAGACCGCACGAGGCCGGCAGCAAUGCCGGCCCUAGAUGGAUGGCCGUCGCCGAGGGCCCCGCGAGGAGCCCUCGGAACAGAACCCGGCGUACAGCCCGACUCGUCUG
Molecule: RNase P RNA, 414 nt
Filed under: Streptomyces aurantiacus
Lineage: Bacteria; Bacillati; Actinomycetota; Actinomycetes; Kitasatosporales; Streptomycetaceae
Also listed under: 1 other name
Description: RNase P RNA component class A
Rfam family: Bacterial RNase P class A
About the family: Ribonuclease P (RNase P) is a ubiquitous endoribonuclease, found in archaea, bacteria and eukarya as well as chloroplasts and mitochondria.
Source: RNAcentral